AUGAAUGAAUCUUUAUUUGCAUCAGCCAUCGGCCAUAGCAACAAAACAACAAUAGGAUAGACAAAGAAUAGAAAUAAAAAGUCAAUUGUAUAAAACACAUUAUAGGGUUUUGGAUCAAUAGUCAAAUAGUGGAAUAUUAUUCUCAUUGCCCCAGCUAAAAACCUUGCAUGCGGAUAUAAAUAAAGCAUAAAAUGGCCCCAAAAUAGGCUCAGCACAUUAAGUUAAAAAGGUAAUAAAAAUUAAACAGGUCCGGGACUAGGGCACACUACCCUGUCAGAGUAGCCCUGAGUUUCAGAGCCUGCACUGUGAAGAUUGCCACCCCACGUGAAAUUUGGGGAUUUGCGUCCACAAGAAGUGCUUUCAAACAGUCUUCCUUAGAUGAAAUGGAGGACGGGAUCAAGAGGAGGAGCUUAGGUCUUAUUGGGUCAUAAAUAGGGCAGUAGAAAAAGAAAUGUAUGAAGUCCUCUACUUCAUUCAUUGUGCAUGGACAUAGACGCUGAGUAAUAGGGGUCUUAGAGUAGGUCCCCUGCAGGAAGGCCGUGGGUAUAGAAUGAAAGCGGGCCAUUGUAAACGCUCUUCUCAAAUUGGGCUCCGUCAGGUCUAUCAAGUAGUUGGCAAGUGAUCUUACCACUUUCACUUUAGGGAGCCACAUGGAGAGGCGAGCUGAGGUGGACUGUGCCCGGUCCAUGGCCUCAUCUCUUGUAAGAAUCCAGGCCCGGAUUUUAUGUUGGUCCCAAGAUGACAACGUGUCGAAAUCUGGGAGGGAGUAGCGUACAGUAAUAGUCUCCAUGGCCUUGGACCAUUUGUUGGAGUGAGAACAAGUUAAAAAGGCUUGCCUGGCUAGUAGGGAACCUGGGGCAUUGAUUAAUUUGCAAUAAAAACUAAUAAUUCUAAUGUGGGCUCUCGCAACAAUGGAGGGGAGGCCCAGUUCUGUUCUUAACUGUGCAGCAACCGAGCCCUUGGGGAGACCCAGUAUCUUUCGUGCAAAAGAGUUUUGUAGAAUCUCCAGCCGUUGUAGUGUUUUUAAAUUCCACCCCCAGAUUUCAACCCCAUACAGUAACAUCGGGAGGACUUUGCUGAUAAAUGCUUUUCUGAUUGGUGGAACCAACUGGCCGCCUUUUGCAUAGAAGAAUUUCUCCAAGGCUUUGAUGGUUCUACGGGCAGCCAGGAUGGUCAUAUUUAGGUGAGCUGACCAGCUAAGCCCAUGCUGAAAAGUGAUUCCCAAAUACUUGAAUGCUGAGCAAUAUUCAAUAGAGUGGCCCUCAAAAUUCCAGAAUGACUUCCGAGUUUUCGUGCCAAAAGUAAGAAUUUUGGUUUUGGCGAAAUUGAUUUUGAGGGAAUUGGUAUCACAAUAUGUCAUGAGCCCUCUGAGCAUGUUGUUUAAGCCCUGCUUGGUUAAAGACAGUAUCACCAUGUCGUCCGCAUAGAGUAAUAUGGGGAUCUUAAGCUGUUGUAAAGAGGGGGCAGAUUGAUUUAGGGCCUGCAUAGUUGUAACGAUGUCGUUGAUAUAGAAAUUGAAUAGAAAAGGGGCCAAGAGGCAGCCCUGUUUGACCCCUUUAUUCAGAGAGAAAGAAUCAGAAAGAGCUCCCAGAGGGCCGAAUUUUACUCUGGCCGAUAUGUCAUUAUGAAUUUCCAUGAGAAGGAGGAGGAGUCUCUUAUCUAUGUUGGUGGAACUAAGCUUCUGCCAUAGCCUAUCUCUGGGAAUGGAGUCAAAAGCGGAGGUCAGGUCCACAAAAGCCGCGUGUAGUUUACAGUUGAACCUGUUUAGGUAUUUAUCAAUCAGGGUAAAUAGAACAAGACAUUGGCCAGAUGUGCUGUGACCUUUACGGAAGCCAGCCUGUUCCGGGUGGAAUAGCUUUGUUUCUUCUGCCCACUCGACUAAUUUCUCUAGCAAAAAUCUAGAGUAAACCUUGUAUGAUAUGUCUAGCAGGCUGAUAGGUCGAUAGUUACGCGGAUCUUGUGGGUCCCCCUUUUUAUAUAUUGGGAUGACUAUGC
This 1995-nucleotide long non-coding RNA is filed under the name Podarcis lilfordi (Lilford's wall lizard). Lineage: Eukaryota; Metazoa; Chordata; Lepidosauria; Squamata; Lacertidae. The record is from RNAcentral.